This is a small nucleolar RNA of Hucho hucho (huchen), 138 nucleotides long. The record is from Ensembl. Lineage: Eukaryota; Metazoa; Chordata; Actinopteri; Salmoniformes; Salmonidae.
ACCUAGGCACCUAUCGAAGCCGUUCCUGUCUUCUUGUAGCAGACACGGUCAACAGGAUGCCAAAAACAUUACUUUCACCGACGGUCGCUGUCCAGUUCGAAAGUAACUGAGGCAGCAACAUUAAGGGGAAGGACAUUC